Molecule: unclassified non-coding RNA, 405 nt
Filed under: soil metagenome
Description: partial contains 5.8S ribosomal RNA, internal transcribed spacer 2, and large subunit ribosomal RNA
Rfam family: 5.8S ribosomal RNA (bases 1-121)
Source: RNAcentral
GAUGAAGAACGUAGCGAAAUACGAUAAGUAAUGUGAAUUGCAGAAUUCAGUGAAUCAUCGAAUCUUUGAACGCACCUUGCGCCCUUUGGCCAUUCCGAAGGGCAUGCCUGUUUGAGUAUCAUGAACACCUCAACUCUUUAUGGUUUUCCAUGAUGAGCUUGGACUCUGGGGGUUUUGCUGGCUCACAGUCGGCUCCUCUAAAAUGAAUCAGCUUACCAGUGUUUGGUGGGUAUCAUGGAUGUGAUAACUAUCUACGCUUGUGGUUUUUCCACCAGGUAACCUUCAGCAGUGGAGGUUCGCUGGAGCUCAUAGAUGUCUCUCCUCAGUGAGGACAGCCCUUUGAAUGUUUGAUCUCAAAUCAGGUAGGACUACCCGCUGAACUUAAGCAUAUCAAUAAGCGGAGGA